CCUACGGGAUGCAGCAGUGAGGAAUAUUGGUCAAUGGUCGGGAGACUGAACCAGCCAAGCCGCGUGAGUGAUGAAGGUACAGAGUAUCGUAAACCUCUUUUGUCAGGGAACAAAGGCGGGGACGUGUCCCCGGCUGAGUGUACCUUAAGAAAAAGCAUCGGCUAACUCCGUGCCAGCAGCCGCGGUAAUACGGAGGAUGCGAGCGUUAUCCGGAUUUAUUGGGUUUAAAGGGUGCGCAGGCGGUCUGUUAAGUCAGCGGUAAAAGCCCGGGGCUCAACCCCGGCCCGCCGUUGAAACUGGCAGUCUCGAGUUGGAGAGAAGUAUGCGGAAUGCGCGGUGUAGCGGUGAAAUGCAUAGAUAUCGCGCAGAACUCCGAUUGCGAAGGCAGCAUGCCGGCUCCACACUGACGCUGAGGCACGAAAGCGUGGGUAGCAAACAGGAUUAGAUACCCCUGUAGUC
Molecule: ribosomal RNA, 459 nt
Filed under: uncultured bacterium
Lineage: Bacteria
Description: partial 16S ribosomal RNA
Rfam family: Bacterial small subunit ribosomal RNA
Source: RNAcentral